This 496-nucleotide ribosomal RNA is filed under the name uncultured bacterium. Its description in RNAcentral is "partial 16S ribosomal RNA". It matches the Rfam family "Bacterial small subunit ribosomal RNA", at positions 28 to 506 of the family's 1533-position model. The record is from RNAcentral.
GAUGAACGCUGGCGGCGUGCCUAACACAUGCAAGUCGAGCGAACAGACGAGGAGCUUGCUCCUUUGACGUUAGCGGCGGACGGGUGAGUAACACGUGGAUCACCUACCUAUAAUUCUGGGAUAACUACGUGAAACCGGAGCUACUACCGGCUAAUAUAUUGAACCGCAUGGAUCAAUAGUGAACGACGCUUUUGCUGUAACUAAUAGCUGGAUCCGGGCCGCAUUAGCUAGUUGGUAGGGUAACGGCUUACCAAGGCUACGCUGCUUAGCCGACCUGUGAGGGGAAUCGGCCACACGGAAAUUGAGGAGCGGUCAGAGUUCUUAGGGAGGGAAGCGGUAGGGAUUCUGCCGGAAGGGGCGAAAGCCUGACGGAGCAACGCGGCGGGAGUGAGGAGGGUCUUCGGAUCGUAAAACGCUGUUAUGAGGAAAGAACAAAUGUGUAAGUAACUAUGCUCGUCUGGACGGUACCAAAGCAGAAAGCCACGGCUAACUACGG